GAGCGACACACGAGGAGCUUGCUCCUCUGACGUUAGCGGCGGACGGGUGAGUAACACGUGGAUAACCUACCUAUAAAACUGGGAUAACUUCGGGAAACCGGAGCUAAUACCGGAUAACAUGUUGAACCGCAUGGUUCAACAGUGAAAGACGGUCUUGCUGUCACUUAUAGAUGGAUCCGCGCCGCAUUAGCUAGUUGGUAAGGUAACGGCUUACCAAGGCAACGAUGCGUAGCCGACCUGAGAGGGUGAUCGGCCACACUGGAACUGAGACACGGUCCAGACUCCUACGGGAGGCAGCAGUAGGGAAUCUUCCGCAAUGGGCGAAAGCCUGACGGAGCAACGCCGCGUGAGUGAAGAAGGUCUUCGGAUCGUAAAACUCUGUUAUUAGGGAAGAACAAAUGUGUAAGUAACUAUGCACGUCUUGACGGUACCUAAUCAGAAAGCCACGGCUAACUACGUGCCAGCAGCCGCGGUAAUACGUAGGUGGCAAGCGUUAUCCGGAAUUAUUGGGCGUAAAGCGCGCGUAGGCGGUUUUUUAAGUCUGAUGUGAAAGCCCACGGCUCAACCGUGGAGGGUCAUUGGAAACUGGAAAACUUGAGUGCAGAAGAGGAAAGUGGAAUUCCAUGUGUAGCGGUGAAAUGCGCAGAGAUAUGGAGGAACACCAGUGGCGAAGCGACUUUCUGGUCUGUAACUGACGCUGAUGUGCGAAAGCGUGGGGAU
RNAcentral lists this ribosomal RNA (720 nucleotides) under Staphylococcus sp. Its description in RNAcentral is "bacterial SSU rRNA". It matches the Rfam family "Bacterial small subunit ribosomal RNA", at positions 64 to 768 of the family's 1533-position model. Lineage: Bacteria; Bacillati; Bacillota; Bacilli; Caryophanales; Staphylococcaceae. The record is from RNAcentral.